UACGUAGGGCGCAAGCGUUAUCCGGAAUUAUUGGGCGUAAAGAGCUCGUAGGCGGUUUGUCGCGUCUGCCGUGAAAGUCCGGGGCUCAACUCCGGAUCUGCGGUGGGUACGGGCAGACUAGAGUGAUGUAGGGGAGACUGGAAUUCCUGGUGUAGCGGUGAAAUGCGCAGAUAUCAGGAGGAACACCGAUGGCGAAGGCAGGUCUCUGGGCAUUAACUGACGCUGAGGAGCGAAAUCAUGGGGAGCGAACAGG
This 253-nucleotide ribosomal RNA is filed under the name uncultured bacterium. RNAcentral's name for it is "partial 16S ribosomal RNA". It matches the Rfam family "Bacterial small subunit ribosomal RNA", at positions 524 to 776 of the family's 1533-position model. The record is from RNAcentral.